RNAcentral lists this ribosomal RNA (1055 nucleotides) under Bacteroides xylanisolvens. RNAcentral describes it as "bacterial SSU rRNA". It matches the Rfam family "Bacterial small subunit ribosomal RNA", at positions 466 to 1533 of the family's 1533-position model. The record is from RNAcentral. Lineage: Bacteria; Pseudomonadati; Bacteroidota; Bacteroidia; Bacteroidales; Bacteroidaceae.
AUUUUGUAUGUACCAUAUGAAUAAGGAUCGGCUAACUCCGUGCCAGCAGCCGCGGUAAUACGGAGGAUCCGAGCGUUAUCCGGAUUUAUUGGGUUUAAAGGGAGCGUAGGUGGAUUGUUAAGUCAGUUGUGAAAGUUUGCGGCUCAACCGUAAAAUUGCAGUUGAAACUGGCAGUCUUGAGUACAGUAGAGGUGGGCGGAAUUCGUGGUGUAGCGGUGAAAUGCUUAGAUAUCACGAAGAACUCCGAUUGCGAAGGCAGCUCACUAGACUGCAACUGACACUGAUGCUCGAAAGUGUGGGUAUCAAACAGGAUUAGAUACCCUGGUAGUCCACACAGUAAACGAUGAAUACUCGCUGUUUGCGAUAUACAGUAAGCGGCCAAGCGAAAGCAUUAAGUAUUCCACCUGGGGAGUACGCCGGCAACGGUGAAACUCAAAGGAAUUGACGGGGGCCCGCACAAGCGGAGGAACAUGUGGUUUAAUUCGAUGAUACGCGAGGAACCUUACCCGGGCUUAAAUUGCAUUUGAAUAAUCUGGAAACAGGUUAGCCGCAAGGCAAAUGUGAAGGUGCUGCAUGGUUGUCGUCAGCUCGUGCCGUGAGGUGUCGGCUUAAGUGCCAUAACGAGCGCAACCCUUAUCUUUAGUUACUAACAGGUCAUGCUGAGGACUCUAGAGAGACUGCCGUCGUAAGAUGUGAGGAAGGUGGGGAUGACGUCAAAUCAGCACGGCCCUUACGUCCGGGGCUACACACGUGUUACAAUGGGGGGUACAGAAGGCAGCUACCUGGCGACAGGAUGCUAAUCCCAAAAACCUCUCUCAGUUCGGAUCGAAGUCUGCAACCCGACUUCGUGAAGCUGGAUUCGCUAGUAAUCGCGCAUCAGCCAUGGCGCGGUGAAUACGUUCCCGGGCCUUGUACACACCGCCCGUCAAGCCAUGAAAGCCGGGGGUACCUGAAGUACGUAACCGCAAGGAGCGUCCUAGGGUAAAACUGGUAAUUGGGGCUAAGUCGUAACAAGGUAGCCGUACCGGAAGGUGCGGCUGGAACACCUCCUUUCU